UGGGGAAUUUUGGACAAUGGGCGAAAGCCUGAUCCAGCAAUGCCGCGUGUGUGAAGAAGGCCUUCGGGUUGUAAAGCACUUUUGUCCGGAAAGAAAUCCUUGGCUCUAAUACAGUCGGGGGGUGACGGUACCGGAAGAAUAAGCACCGGCUAACUACGUGCCAGCAGCCGCGGUAAUACGUAGGGUGCAAGCGUUAAUCGGAAUUACUGGGCGUAAAGCGUGCGCAGGCGGUUUGCUAAGACCGAUGUGAAAUCCCCGGGCUCAACCUGGGAACUGCAUUGGUGACUGGCAGGCUAGAGUAUGGCAGAGGGGGGUAGAAUUCCACGUGUAGCAGUGAAAUGCGUAGAGAUGUGGAGGAAUACCGAUGGCGAAGGCGAGCCCCCUGGCCAAUACUGACGCUCAUGCACGAAAGCGUGGGGAGCAAACAGGAUUAGAUACCCUGGUAGUCCACGCCCUAAACGAUGUCAACUAGUUGUUGGGGAUUCAUUUCCUUAGUAACGUAGCUAACGCGUGAAGUUGACCGCCUGGGGAGUACGGUCGCAAGAUUAAAACUUAAAUGAAUUGACGGGGUCAUAGCUGUUUCCU
RNAcentral lists this ribosomal RNA (585 nucleotides) under uncultured bacterium. Its description in RNAcentral is "partial 16S ribosomal RNA". It matches the Rfam family "Bacterial small subunit ribosomal RNA", at positions 355 to 1375 of the family's 1533-position model. The record is from RNAcentral.